Molecule: long non-coding RNA, 627 nt
Filed under: Pogona vitticeps (central bearded dragon)
Lineage: Eukaryota; Metazoa; Chordata; Lepidosauria; Squamata; Agamidae
Description: lncRNA (ENSPVIG00000016115.1)
Source: RNAcentral
CCCCCUUCUGCUUUAUUUUUCUCUCCCCUCUGCCUCUUUCUCCUAGCCGAUUCUUCCUCCAGCCUUAAUCUUGAGCGCUCAGCUCUUGCUAGAAAGCGGUUUACAUUGCAAGGUCUUUCCAACCGUAGAGCGCCACCCAAAGAUCCAGAAUCUAAAGAGAGAGACGUUACCCGUCGCUUUUCCUUAGCUUCCUCCAUCAGCACCACAACUAACACAUCUGCUCUAACCAAAGGUCCCCUUGUUCCUGCAGUUAAAGUCAAGAGGCAUGAAAUUAAAAGUGACCCAACUCCUCUAGGGUUUGAAGAUGCCUUUGCAAGAAACAUCUUGGCUCAAGCUAAAUGCAGCGCUGUUAUUCCGCCUACAAGAUCGGUACCUAGAUCUGCUUCACAGACAGGAUGGCCCACCCGGCAGAUGCCUUCUCUAGAUACAUUUGAAGAUUUUGAAGCGAUCCCAUCCAGUGCUGAGGAACUUUCUAAUUCUUCAGAUAUGGAGGAGGAAAGCCAACCUAACAACGGAUCCAGUCUUUACCGGGUAGAAGGCAAUUUUGACACCUGUUUCCCAGAUUCCCUUACUCUAGAGGAUGGAGAUUUAGUGCAGUUUAUACAGGAAGGCGAAGAUGGACAAUGA